UACGGAGGGGGCUAGCGUUGUUCGGAAUUACUGGGUGUAAAGCGCGUGUAGGCGGGAGGCCAAGUCUGUGGUGAAAUCGCUCGGCUUAACUGGGCGGGGUCCAUGGAAACUGGUCACCUGGAGGUCGGUAGAGGCAAGUGGAAUUCCCGGUGUAGUGGUGAAAUGCGUAGAGAUCGGGAGGAACACCAGUGGCGAAGGCGGCUUGCUGGGCCGGACCUGACGCUGAGACGGCGAAGGCGGUGGGGAGCGAACGGG
Molecule: ribosomal RNA, 255 nt
Filed under: uncultured bacterium
Lineage: Bacteria
Description: partial 16S ribosomal RNA
Rfam family: Bacterial small subunit ribosomal RNA
Source: RNAcentral